GGUGACUCAGUGGUAGAGUGCUUGUCUUGCAUGCAUGAGGCCUUGGGUUUGAUUCCUCAGCACCA
RNAcentral lists this transfer RNA (65 nucleotides) under Dipodomys ordii (Ord's kangaroo rat). It matches the Rfam family "tRNA". From Rfam's summary of the family: Transfer RNA (tRNA) molecules are approximately 80 nucleotides in length. Their secondary structure includes four short double-helical elements and three loops (D, anti-codon, and T loops). The record is from Rfam by way of RNAcentral. Lineage: Eukaryota; Metazoa; Chordata; Mammalia; Rodentia; Heteromyidae.